Molecule: ribosomal RNA, 492 nt
Filed under: uncultured bacterium
Lineage: Bacteria
Description: partial 16S ribosomal RNA
Rfam family: Bacterial small subunit ribosomal RNA
Source: RNAcentral
GACGAACGCUGGCGGCGCGCUUAACACAUGCAAGUCGAACGGAAAGGCCUGCUUUCCCUUGUGGAUUGCGGGUACUCGAGUGGCGAACGGGUGAGUAACACGUGAGUGAUCUGCCCCCAACUUGGGUAUAAGCCUGGGAAACUGGGUCUAAUUCCCGAUAGGACUGCAGGGUGGUGCCUGUGGUGGAAAACGAUUUUCUAGUGGUUGGGGAUGAGCUCGCGGCCUAUCAGCUUGUUGGUGGGGUAAUGGCCUACCAAGGCGGCGACGGGUAGCCGGCCUGAGAGGGUGGACGGCCACAUUGGGACUGAGAUACGGCCCAGACUCCUACGGGAGGCAGCAGUGGGGAAUAUUGCACAAUGGGCGGAAGCCUGAUGCAGCGACGCCGCGUGGGGGAUGACGGCCUUCGGGUUGUACUCCUUUCGACCGCGAGGAAGCCACCUGGUUGGAAGGGUGGUGACGGUAGUGGUAGAAGAAGCACCGGCUAACUACGUG